RNAcentral lists this ribosomal RNA (333 nucleotides) under Oscillospiraceae bacterium. RNAcentral's name for it is "partial 23S ribosomal RNA". It matches the Rfam family "Bacterial large subunit ribosomal RNA", at positions 2595 to 2925 of the family's 2925-position model. The record is from RNAcentral. Lineage: Bacteria; Bacillati; Bacillota; Clostridia; Eubacteriales; Oscillospiraceae.
GGUACGCGAGUUGGGUUCAGAACGUCGUAAGACAGUUCGGUCCUUAUCCUCCGCAGGCGCAGGAUAUUUGAUGGGAUCAUUCCUUAGUACGAGAGGACCGGGAAUGACUUACCUCUGGUGUUCCGAUUGUGGCGUCAGCUGCAUUGUCGGGUAGCUAUGUAGGGAACGGAUAAGCGCUGAAAGCAUCUAAGCGCCAAGCCCACCCAAAGACGAGAUAUCCCUGUCCGCAAGGACCUGAAGGGCGGUCGAAGACUACGACCUUGAUAGGAUGGCGGUGUAAGCACAGCAAUGUGUUCAGCUUACCAUUACUAAUCGCCCGUGAGGCUUAACCAC